GAACAAUGUGGUUAUAUCUUGGAAGCAUCCUGAUGUGUAGCAAUUAAUGGCACCUCAGUGGGGUCCUCCACAGUGUGGCUCACACAUUUAUUGACAGCCUAAAACGUGCCAAGCUCUGUAGACAGAGAGUGAAAGCUCAGUAGAAGGCAGUGGUUAGAGGCACACACCCUAGACUCAGAUGCGGGAUGAAAUCCUGGGUCAGCCCUUAACAGGUUACGUGGCCUGCAUCCAUACAAUCUGUACAGUGGCCUCCAGAGAGCAUCCCCUCACUGUGGAGUGAGGAUGAAAGGGGAGUGUGCCGAUUAAAUGCCCCACAUGGCUCCGGUUCAUGAGGAGCAGUUCAAACAUCAGAGAUUUUUAU
This 361-nucleotide long non-coding RNA is filed under the name Homo sapiens (human). RNAcentral's name for it is "HSALNT0259923". Lineage: Eukaryota; Metazoa; Chordata; Mammalia; Primates; Hominidae. The record is from RNAcentral.